This 253-nucleotide ribosomal RNA is filed under the name uncultured bacterium. Its description in RNAcentral is "partial 16S ribosomal RNA". It matches the Rfam family "Bacterial small subunit ribosomal RNA", at positions 524 to 776 of the family's 1533-position model. The record is from RNAcentral.
UACGAAGGGGGCUAGCGUUGUUCGGCCUCACUGGGCGUAAAGCGCACGCAGGCGGAUCGAUAAGUCGGGGGUGAAAGCCCGGGGCUCAACCUCGGAAUUGCCUUCGAUACUGUCGGUCUCGAGUCCGGGAGAGGUGAGUGGAAUUCCUAGUGUAGAGAUGAAAUUCGUAGAUAUUAGGAAGAACACCAGUGGCGAAGGCGGCUCACUGGCCCGGUACUGACGCUCAGGUGCGAAAGCGUGGGGAGCAAACAGG